UAGGGAAUCUUCCACAAUGGACGCAAGUCUGAUGGAGCAACGCCGCGUGAGUGAAGAAGGUUUUCGGACCGUAAAGCUCUGUUGUUGGUGAAGAAGGAUAGAGGUAGUAACUGGCCUUUAUUUGACGGUAAUCAACCAGAAAGUCACGGCUAACUACGUGCCAGCAGCCGCGGUAAUACGUAGGUGGCAAGCGUUGUCCGGAUUUAUUGGGCGUAAAGCGAGCGCAGGCGGAAGAAUAAGUCUGAUGUGAAAGCCCUCGGCUUAACCGAGGAAUUGCAUCGGAAACUGUUUUCUUGAGUGCAGAAGAGGAGAGUAGAACUCCAUGUGUAGCGGUGGAAUGCGUAGAUAUAUGGAAGAAUACCAGUGACGAAGGCGGCUCUCUGGUCUGCAACUGACGCUGAGGCUCGAAAGCAUGGGUAGCGAACAGGAUUAGAUACCCUGGUAGUCCAUGCCGUAAACGAUGAGUGCUAAGUGUUGGGAGGCUUCCGCCUCUCAGUGCUGCAGCUAACGCAUUAAGCACUCCGCCUGGGGGAGUACGACCGCAAGGUUGAAAC
This 554-nucleotide ribosomal RNA is filed under the name uncultured bacterium. RNAcentral's name for it is "partial 16S ribosomal RNA". It matches the Rfam family "Bacterial small subunit ribosomal RNA", at positions 355 to 900 of the family's 1533-position model. The record is from RNAcentral.